Molecule: non-coding RNA, 169 nt
Filed under: bovine gut metagenome
Description: malK-I RNA
Rfam family: malK-I RNA
Source: RNAcentral
GGCACGACUCCACUUCCUCUCGUUCCGUUUCAUAUCAAGAAAGGAGAUUCAUUCCCCCGGCUCGGGGUGCGGCAGUGUGGAGACCUGCCGUAAUGCAGGCCGCACAUUUUCCGGCGGCUGCGAGGACGUUUCGGGCGGAUGUCAAACGUCCUGAGUCAAAACAUAUGUC